This 73-nucleotide transfer RNA is filed under the name Momotus momota (Blue-crowned motmot). Its description in RNAcentral is "tRNA-Glu". It matches the Rfam family "tRNA". Rfam says of the family: Transfer RNA (tRNA) molecules are approximately 80 nucleotides in length. The record is from RNAcentral. Lineage: Eukaryota; Metazoa; Chordata; Aves; Coraciiformes; Momotidae.
UGGGUUCCUGUAGUUAAAAGUUAUAACGGUGGCUUUUCAGGCCAUAGGUCCUGGAGGAAGCCAGGCAGGAACU